GAUGAACGCUGGCGGCGUGCUUAAUACAUGCAAGUCGAGCGAACGGACGAGAAGCUUGCUUCUCUGAUGUUAGCGGCGGACGGGUGUGUAACACGUGGAUAACCUACCUAUAAGACUGGGAUAACUUCGGGAAACCGGCGCUAAUACCGGAUAAUAUUUUGAACCGCAUGGUUCAUAAGUGAAAUACGGUCUUGCUGUAACUUAUAGCUGGAUCCGCGCUGCAUUAGCUAGUUGUUAAGGUAACGGCUUAUCAAGGCAACGAUGCAUAGCCGAGCUGAGAGAGGGAUCGGCCACACUGGAACGGGAACGCGGUCCAUGCUCCUACGGGAGGCAGCAGUAGGGAAUCUUCCGCAAUAGUCGAAAACCUGACGGAGCGACGCCGCGUGAGUUAUGAAGGUCUUCGGAGCGUAAAACUCUGUUAUGAGGUGAGAACAUAUUUGUAAGUAACUGUGCACAGCUUGACGGUACCUAAUCAGAAAGCCACGGCUAACUACGUG
This 497-nucleotide ribosomal RNA is filed under the name uncultured bacterium. RNAcentral's name for it is "partial 16S ribosomal RNA". It matches the Rfam family "Bacterial small subunit ribosomal RNA", at positions 28 to 507 of the family's 1533-position model. The record is from RNAcentral.